Molecule: ribosomal RNA, 680 nt
Filed under: Tuber oregonense
Lineage: Eukaryota; Fungi; Ascomycota; Pezizomycetes; Pezizales; Tuberaceae
Description: eukaryotic LSU rRNA
Rfam family: Eukaryotic large subunit ribosomal RNA
Source: RNAcentral
UAACGGCGAGUGAAGCGGCAAAAGCUCAAAUUUUAAAUCUGACGCCCACAAGCGUUCGAGUUGUACUUUGGAGAGGCAUCUUCGUAAGGGGUCCAGCCUAUGUUCCUUGGAACAGGGCGUCAUAGAGGGUGAGAAUCCCGUUCAUGGCUGGAUACUCCUUGUAUUAUGUAGUGUCUUCAACGAGUCGAGUUGUUUGGGAAUGCAGCUCAAAAUGGGUGGUAAAUUUCAUCUAAAGCUAAAUAUUGGCGAGAGACCGAUAGCGCACAAGUAGAGUGAUCGAAAGAUGAAAAGCACUUUGAAAAUAGAGUCAAACAGUACGUGAAAUUGUUGAAAGGGAAGCGCUUGAGAUCAGAGUCAGUCGAUUAUAAACAACUUUCCUUCUGGAUGGUGCACUUAUUAUUGAUUGGGCCAGCAUCAGUUGGGACGGCAGGAUAAAGGCCAUGGGAAUGUGACUCCAUUUCGGAGUGUUAUAGCCCCUGGUGCCAUGCUGUCUGCCCUGACUGUGGACCGCGCUUCGGCUUGGAUGCUGGCUUAAUGGUCUUCAGCGGCCCGUCUUGAAACACGGACCAAGGAGUCUAACGUCUAUGCAAGUGUUUGGGCUCAAAACCCUCACGCGUAAUGAAAGUGAACGGAGGUGGGAACCCUGCAAGGGGUGCACCAUCGACCGAUCCUGAUGUCUU